RNAcentral lists this ribosomal RNA (393 nucleotides) under uncultured bacterium. RNAcentral describes it as "bacterial SSU rRNA". It matches the Rfam family "Bacterial small subunit ribosomal RNA", at positions 28 to 419 of the family's 1533-position model. The record is from RNAcentral.
GACGAACGCUGGCGGCGUGCUUAACACAUGCAAGUCGAGCGGUAAGGCCCUUUCGGGGGUACGACGAGCGGCGAACGGGUGAGUAACACGUGGGUGACCUGCCCUCCAGCUCUGGGAUAAGCCUGGGAAACCGGGGUCUAAUACUGGAUAUGACUCCAUGACGCAUGUUGUGGGGUGGAAAGCCUUGUGCGGCUGAGGAUGGGCCCGCGGCCUAUCAGCUUGUUGGUGGGGUGAUGGCCUACCAAGGCGACGACGGGUAGCCGGCCUGAGAGGGCGACCGGCCACACUGGGACUGAGACACGGCCCAGACUCCUACGGGAGGCAGCAGUGGGGAAUCUUGCGCAAUGGGCGAAAGCCUGACGCAGCGACGCCGCGUGAGGGAUGACGGCCUGG